CAACAGGGCAAUCUGUGAUCCUCCUGUGUACAGCAAGUGGAAGCCGGCUGUGCUCCACCUGUGCCGCGCAACCCCCAAGCAACUCUAGCAGACCUGGCGAGACCUCUGCCCAGGAAACUGACAAUCCUAGCGGACAUUCUCCUCAUCCUCCAGAAAGCUACUGACCUCUGCUUCCUGAUUGUAUCAGACUCCAGGCAAUUCAUUACCCACCUUAUUAAACAAGGUCUCUCUUGCUAUUUCUGCCAUGGGUCUCACCAUAUGACUGUCCUGGAUACAAACCUGUAUUCUGUCCUGUGUGUAGCUGAAGAAAGAAGGCCGAGUCGCCAGGUGGUGGUGGCACAUGCUUUUAAUCCCAGCACUUGGAAGGCAGAGGCAGGUGGAUC
Microtus oregoni (creeping vole) is the source of this 383-nucleotide long non-coding RNA. RefSeq lists it as uncharacterized. The record is from RefSeq and is a predicted model, not a curated record. The transcript is spliced from 3 exons. NCBI's taxonomy places the organism in Eukaryota, Metazoa, Chordata, Mammalia, Rodentia, Cricetidae.